CAGUAGCCGCGGUAAUACGUAUGUCACAAGCGUUAUCCGGAUUUAUUGGGCGUAAAGCGCGUCUAGGUGAUUAAGUAAGUCUGAUGUGAAAAUGCAGGGCUCAACUCUGUAUUGCGUUGGAAACUGCAUGACUAGAGUACUGGAGAGGUAAGCGGAACUACAAGUGUAGAGGUGAAAUUCGUAGAUAUUUGUAGGAAUGCCGAUGGGGAAGCCAGCUUACUGGACAGAUACUGACGCUAAAGCGCGAAAGCGUGGGUAGCAAACAGGAUUAGAUACCCCUGUAGUCCCUGUCUCUUAUACA
RNAcentral lists this ribosomal RNA (301 nucleotides) under uncultured bacterium. Its description in RNAcentral is "partial 16S ribosomal RNA". It matches the Rfam family "Bacterial small subunit ribosomal RNA", at positions 509 to 808 of the family's 1533-position model. The record is from RNAcentral.